UAAUAUGCGAUGAAAAGGACAUGAAUUAUUUUUACUGUUAUCAGAGAGGGAAGGAUAGGUGUGAGCUUCCUAGCAAAGGAAAAUAAUUUACCACCUUUGAGCUAUAUUGGUGAACGAGAAGUAGUCAAUAUCGUGUAUGCAGCGUUACUGCACCAAGCCAUAAGAAAACCACUGUGUUUUUUUAUGGGAAUUUGGGUGGAACCACGGGUGAAAACACUCGUCCCUUUC
RNAcentral lists this non-coding RNA (228 nucleotides) under Niallia circulans. RNAcentral's name for it is "Bacillus circulans T-box sequence". It matches the Rfam family "T-box leader". From Rfam's summary of the family: Uncharged tRNA acts as the effector for transcription antitermination of genes in the T-box leader family. T-boxes are found upstream of many aminoacyl-tRNA synthetase genes and some amino acid biosynthetic genes usually in Gram-positive bacteria. Lineage: Bacteria; Bacillati; Bacillota; Bacilli; Caryophanales; Bacillaceae. The record is from RNAcentral.